UAGGGAAUCUUCCGCAAUGGACGCAAGUCUGACGGAGCAACGCCGCGUGAGUGAUGAAGGUUUUCGGAUCGUAAAGCUCUGUUGCCCUAGACGAAUGAGCCAGAGAGUAACUGCUCUGACUGUGACGGUAUAGGAGAAGAAAGCCCCGGCUAACUACGUGCCAGCAGCCGCGGUAAUACGUAGGGGGCAAGCGUUGUCCGGAAUUAUUGGGCGUAAAGCGCGCGCAGGCGGUUCAGUAAGUUGGAUGUUUAAUGCCGGGGCUCAACCCCGGUACGCAUCCAAAACUGGUGGACUUGAGUGUAGGAGAGGAAAGUGGAAUUCCACGUGUAGCGGUGAAAUGCGUAGAGAUGUGGAGGAACACCAGUGGCGAAGGCGACUUUCUGGCCUAUAACUGACGCUGAGGCGCGAAAGCGUGGGGAGCAAACA
Molecule: ribosomal RNA, 426 nt
Filed under: uncultured Paenibacillus sp.
Lineage: Bacteria; Bacillati; Bacillota; Bacilli; Caryophanales; Paenibacillaceae
Description: bacterial SSU rRNA
Rfam family: Bacterial small subunit ribosomal RNA
Source: RNAcentral